GGUGAACCAGCUCCCCUCUCCCACCCUGCCUACCUAACCCGGCUGCACUCCCUGGAUGUAGAAAGCAGAAAGUGCGACCGGAUUGGGUAAGUUCGGGUGGGGAAUCAUC
RNAcentral lists this microRNA precursor (109 nucleotides) under Ornithorhynchus anatinus (platypus). RNAcentral's name for it is "microRNA oan-mir-1420f precursor". The stretch from base 17 to 104 matches the Rfam family "mir-1420 microRNA precursor family". The record is from miRBase by way of RNAcentral. Lineage: Eukaryota; Metazoa; Chordata; Mammalia; Monotremata; Ornithorhynchidae.